Molecule: ribosomal RNA, 792 nt
Filed under: uncultured archaeon
Lineage: Archaea
Description: bacterial SSU rRNA
Rfam family: Archaeal small subunit ribosomal RNA
Source: RNAcentral
ACUGCUCAGUAACACGUGGACAACCUGCCCUUAGGUUGGGUAUAAACCCGGGAAACUGGGUAUAAUACCCGAUAGGUCUCGAUUGCUGGAAUGCAUCGAGAUUUAAAGCUCCGGCGCCUAAGGAUGGGUCUGCGGCCUAUCAGGUAGUAGUGGGUGUAGCGUACCUACUAGCCUACGACGGGUACGGGUUGUGAGAGCAAGAGCCCGGAGAUGGAUUCUGAGACACGAAUCCAGGCCCUACGGGGUGCAGCAGGCGCGAAAACUUUACAAUGCUGGCAACAGCGAUAAGGGAACCUCGAGUGCCAGGUUACAAAUCUGGCUGUCGAGAUGCCUAAAAAGCAUUUCAUAGCAAGGGCCGGGCAAGACCGGUGCCAGCCGCCGUGGUAACACCGGCGGCUCGAGUGGUAACCGUUAUUAUUGGGUCUAAAGGGUCUGUAGCCGGCCGGAUAAGUCUCUUGAGAAAUCUGGCAGCUUAACUGUCAGGCUUCAGGAGAUACUGUCUGGCUCGAGGCCGGGAGAGGUGAGAGGUACUUCAGGGGUAGGGGUGAAAUCUUGUAAUCCUUGAAGGACCACCAGUGGCGAAGGCGUCUCACCAGAACGGACCUGACGGCAAGGGACGAAAGCUAGGGGCACGAACCGGAUUAGAUACCCGGGUAGUCCUAGCCGUAAACGAUACUCGCUAGGUGUCGGCCACGGUGCGACCGUUGUCGGUGCCGUAGGGAAGCCGUGAAGCGAGCCACCUGGGAAGUACGGCCGCAAGGCUGAAACUUAAAGGAAUUGGCGGGGGAGCAC